This 1013-nucleotide long non-coding RNA is filed under the name Cricetulus griseus (Chinese hamster). RNAcentral describes it as "lncRNA (ENSCGRG00015040740.1)". The record is from RNAcentral. Lineage: Eukaryota; Metazoa; Chordata; Mammalia; Rodentia; Cricetidae.
ACAUAAACAAAGCAGGGUGCUUUCCCUUCCCAAGGGCUGAGCUUUCUCUCUUCCUUCUUCUGGCAGAGGCUUUCUAACUAUUCACAGGCUCUCUCCUUCCACAUCUCUCCCUCUCUGUGACACAGAAGAGAACCAAUGAGGAUGGCACGGCAGAGCCUAGGGCAACCCUAAGUAUCCUUCUAGCUGUUACAUGUCCCAGGCUUGCCCUUUACAUCUGGGGCCACAUUGUAUACAGAUGACUACAUGCUGCACUGCAUUGAUUUACUCAAUGUACUGCUCUUUUAGAUGGCCUCCUGAAUUUCAAACAAGGGAAGAACAGCAAGAUGGAAGAAUUCUCCAGUUUCUGUACUCUGCAGGAUUUCUGAAGUUCUACCUUAAAGUUCUACCUGGCUUUUGGGAACCUGUUCUCCAUGCUGGAUUACUUUCACCAACCUUGAUGCAGGGAGAGGAGCUUGGUCCUGCCUUUAACUUGAUAUGCCAUGCUUUGUUCAAGCCCAAUCGGACGCCUGCUUCUUUCUGAAUAGAGACUGAGAAGUGGAUGGGAGACAGGCAACUGCCCAAGACACUGCUCUAGGGUCUGUCUUGCUGAUUAACUCUGUCGUUUAUUGGAAAGCCACGGGCUUCUUCCUGUCAACUCAGGUUUGUAUACAGAGAAGUCAUGUGUUGAAAGCACACUGGAUGCCACCCCAACAGAUGUCCAGAAAACUUAAAAUAUGGAGAUAUGAAAAGUCCACAACUGACAUAGAAGUGCCUCAUUUUAAAACAUACAGCUGAAUUUCUAAGGACUUAGCCCACAACAUAGAAUUACAGGAAUGUUUGCUGAUGCUUCUACUGAUAUGAAUACAUCAUCAUAUGAUUGACCAGCCCCAGUGUAGGCAUUCCUUGCCAUCAUUAUGGAAGCUUUAUGACAUGAGCAUUGUGAAAAGUCCUAGAGAAGACCUUGAGAGCAUGGACAGAUGGCAAGUAGGUUUGAAGAGAAGAAAAAUAACAAGUCACCAGUUUUAGCUCAUGGG